This 496-nucleotide ribosomal RNA is filed under the name uncultured bacterium. Its description in RNAcentral is "partial 16S ribosomal RNA". It matches the Rfam family "Bacterial small subunit ribosomal RNA", at positions 29 to 507 of the family's 1533-position model. The record is from RNAcentral.
AUGAACGCUGGCGGCGUGCCUAAUACAUGCAAGUCGAGCGAACGGACGAGAAGCUUGCUUUUCUGAUGUUAGCGGCGGACGGGUGAGUAACACGUGGAUAACCUACCUAUAAGACUGGGAUAACUUCGGGAAACCGGAGCUAAUACCGGAUAAUAUUUUGAACCGCAUGGUUCAAAAGUGAAAGACGGUCUUGCUGUCACUUAUAGAUGGGUCCGCGCUGCAUUAGCUAGUUGGUAAGGUAACGGCUUACCAAGGCAACGAUGCAUAGCCGACCUGAGAGGGUGAUCGGCCACACUGGAACUGAGACACGGUCCAGACUCCUACGGGAGGCAGCAGUAGGGAAUCUUCCGCAAUGGGCGAAAGCCUGACGGAGCAACGCCGCGUGAGUGAUGAAGGUCUUCGGAUCGUAAAACUCUGUUAUUAGGGAAGAACAUAUGUGUAAGUAACUGUGCACAUCUUGACGGUACCUAAUCAGAAAGCCACGGCUAACUACGUG